CACAGAUCUGAAGCGGUGCACCUACUAUGAGACGUGCGCGACCUACGGGCUCAAUGUGGAGCGUGUCUUCCAGGACGUGGGUAUAAUUGACUCUGCUGUCCCCUGCAGUGGCCCAGAAGGUAGUGGCCUUGCGAAAGAAGCAGCAACUGGCCAUCGGGCCCUGCAAGUCACUGCCCAACUCGCCCAGCCACUCGGCCGUGUCCGCCGCCUCCAUCCCGGCCGUGCACAUCAACCAGGCCACGAAUGGCGGCGGCAGCGCCUUCAGCGACUACUCGUCCUCAGUCCCCUCCACCCCCAGCAUCAGCCAGCGGGAGCUGCGCAUCGAGACCAUCGCUGCCUCCUCCACCCCCACACCCAUCCGAAAGCAGUCCAAGCGGCGCUCCAACAUCUUCA
RNAcentral lists this small RNA (393 nucleotides) under Pan troglodytes (chimpanzee). RNAcentral describes it as "processed transcript". Lineage: Eukaryota; Metazoa; Chordata; Mammalia; Primates; Hominidae. The record is from RNAcentral.